Non-coding RNA from Podarcis muralis (Common wall lizard), 2502 nucleotides. Lineage: Eukaryota; Metazoa; Chordata; Lepidosauria; Squamata; Lacertidae. The record is from RefSeq and is a predicted model, not a curated record.
GCGGAGCGCAACUCGAACACGCUCAACCCGAAGCGCAUUCAACUCGAGGAUUGUCAAGUGUGGCGCUCCUUGAAUGUUGACCACAGAGGGAAGCUGAAGAAAAUCUUCACUGGUGUAACUCAGAGGAAAUACUUUCAAGGCUGUGAAAUCUGCUUCUGCCUUGAAGUGGGUCAGGAUGUUGAUUGUGCUCCCAGUACAGAGACCCCUGUUUGCCUAAAACCUGUUCAGUCUACCGGCAAUUUCUCAGUGACAACCACAUGCUGCUCCAUCCAUAUGUAAUCUUGUGCCAGGAAAGGCCACUUUCCUGAAAGGGAGGUAGACGACUUGCCAUUUUCCAGUAUAAAAAUAACUGGCUACAUGGAUUCUGCUGCGAAGGUAAUUAUGCACCUUCCAAAGGAUUUCUACCGUGGAUGUGUAAUAUAAUUGUCCUCACUGUGUGUGAGCAGACAUUACACACAGCCAGCAUCUGGUCUGGAUCUGUGACCAAUAUGGUAAAAGCUAUUGCUUGGCUCGGUAACAUGGGGACAGAGGGAAAGGAGCAAUUCUCAACUGAGGCAGAAGGUAGGACAUGAAGGAGGCAGAAAGUAAAGCUGAGGGAGAGGAAAAAGGCAGAAACUGGGGGCUUUUGAAAGCUCUGGCUGGAGUUGUUUAGGCUGCAAGUAGCAGCUUGUCUCUGUUCAGGGUAAUACUUCUUCAGCAACAUGCAGCACCUUAAAAUACCUGACAAUAGGAUGCCCUUGUGUCAUUAGUAUUUGAUAUUUCAAAACAUGGUGCAGAGCAGAGUUAAGGCACAGAUUAAAUGACAAUUUGGGGGGUGGGGGAAUUAAACUUUGAAAGAGAAAGCCAAUCCAAAAUGAAGCAGUAUUUCUACACUUUUUAAAAACUUUGGCUGUUAAGUAAGAUCUCCAGAGCCAGUCCUUUAAGUGAAUCAGUAGUUGGGGAAUCUUUAAAAUUGACAAGUGCUGAUUGUAAUAAUGAUUGUAACGUAAUACAUUGCAUUUUAAUUCCCUCCCCUCCUUAUUUUCCUGGAUUGUAGCUCAGUGAAGAGCCAGAUCACAUAUGUUUGCACAUCACUUACUGCUUUGUUGCACCAAGCAAUGACUUGCCUGUGUGCCAUCCCAGGUUAAGAAUGACAGAAUAUUUGUGCCACCCAAUGUUAAUUCAAAUACAAUAAUUUCCAAUGGACACAGAUCACACAUUUUCCUUAGAAUCAUAAUGUACUGCAUAAUCAAAUUGAGAGAGAUUAUGUCGCGAGCAGGUGUGUGUGAAUUAGCUGUUUCCUUAUUUCUCUUUUCCAGGGUCGAAUGGUUCUAAGGCAAGUUCUUCUGUGUUUUAUUGAAAUUUUCUCUCCCUUUUACUGUCUCCUGCUGCAGCAGUGCUAUCCUGUUGACCGCUAAAAGCAGGAAUUACACAUUUUUUAAUAUCCUUGCAAUUCGUUAUUUAAAUUAUCUGACCUCUGUUGUCUUAAUGAGCUUAACAGGAUUAUUUUUCCAUUUGAACAUUUUCUACUAGUAGGAAAUUCCCUCCGAAGGAUUACUUGUGUGCCGUCUUCCUAUGUAGCACUAUUAAUGUUGAUGACCAAAAGAUGGCAGCACUAUUUCCAUUGUCAUUGCCCUUCUGCUUUUCUGUAUAUAUACUAUUAAAGAAGAACCCGGAUACAACAAAGCUCCCAUCAAUGAGCAACAAGAAGGGAGUAGCUAAACUUGUGAGUUGUGCAUUUCAACUGCUUAGAGCACUUAGACCUAUACAUUGCUGGAUAAUGUAUUAAAGACUUCAUUUAAAACAAUUGCAUGUUACAUUAUAUACAGAAUUAUACCACUUUUUUUUUUUGUAAAAUUAGCAUGGAAAGAAAGAAAAAAUUCUAGCAAUUUUUCUUUAGUGGUCUACAAUUCUCUUUGAACCUAUGAUUUGACAAGUAAUAACCAUUUCACUUUUUAAAAGUCAUUUUGGGGAACCUGUCACCCUCCAUAUGUUAUUAGACUCCUAUCAUCUCUGACCAUUAGUCAUGCUGGCUGGGGCUGAUGGGGAAUCCAGCAACAUCUUUAGUGCUACAGGUUCUCCUCUCCUGCUUUUUAGAGGUUGCAGUUAGAUACAGAUCUCUUUUACAAGUCUGAUGUGGGCUUAAUCUGAGCCUAGUCACCUGGGUGCUUGAUUUGAUGUGAUGUUUAGAAGGGCUACCCCAGGCACCCCCAAUCGGUGGCCCUCCAGAUGUUUUGGCCUACAACUCCCAUGAUCCCUAGCUAACAGGACCAGUGGUCAGGGAUGACGGGAAUUGUAGUCCAAAACAUCUGGAGGGCCGAAGGUUGGCGAUGCCUGGGCUACCCCGAUAUAGUUUGCAACCUGAGGAAGAACUCGAAACAGAGCCCAUCCAAAAUCCAAAGCUGGUCAAGUUGUUUUGGUACCUGAGCCAGAAAAUCCCGCAAGUGCCUUAUCUUGUGAUUAAAAAUAUAAUAAUAUUUGUUGUUGUAGAUGAUGAUGAUGAAAAAAUGCUUACCUUUCAUG